GAUGAACGCUGGCGGCGUGCCUAAUACAUGCAAGUCGAGCGAACAGACGAGGAGCUUGCGCCGCGGACGUUAGCGGCGGACGGGUGAGUAACACGUGUAAAACCUACCUAUAAGACGGGGAUAACUUCGGGAAACCGGAGCUAAUACCGUAGAAUAUAUUGAACCGCAGGGUGCAAUAGUGAAAUACGGUGUUGCCGGCUGUUAUGGAUGGAUCCGCGCCGCAUUAGCUAGUUGGGAAGGUAACGGCUUACGAAGGGUACGAGGCGUAGCCGACAUUGGAGCUUGGACGCCGUCCAGGCGCCUGCGGGACGCCGCAGUAGGGAAUCUUCCGCAAUGGGCGAAAGCCUGACGGAGCGACGCCGAGUGAGUGAUGAAGGCCUUCGGUUCGUAAUACUCUGUUAUGAGGGAAAAACAACUGUGUAAGUAACUGUGCACGUAUUGACGGUACCUAGUCAGAAAGCCACGGCUAACUACGUG
This 477-nucleotide ribosomal RNA is filed under the name uncultured bacterium. Its description in RNAcentral is "partial 16S ribosomal RNA". It matches the Rfam family "Bacterial small subunit ribosomal RNA", at positions 28 to 507 of the family's 1533-position model. The record is from RNAcentral.